Molecule: ribosomal RNA, 318 nt
Filed under: uncultured Fontibacillus sp.
Lineage: Bacteria; Bacillati; Bacillota; Bacilli; Caryophanales; Paenibacillaceae
Description: bacterial SSU rRNA
Rfam family: Bacterial small subunit ribosomal RNA
Source: RNAcentral
GUGCCAGCCGCCGCGGUAAUACGUAGGGGCAAGCGUUGUCCGGAAUUAUUGGGCGUAAAGCGCGCGCAGGCGGUGCGUUAAGUUUGGUGUUUAAGACUGGGGCUCAACCCUGGAACGCACCGAAAACUGGCGGACUGGAGUGCAGGAGAGGAAAGUGGAAUUCCACGUGUAGCGGUGAAAUGCGUAGAGAUGUGGAGGAACACCAGUGGCGAAGGCGACUUUCUGGCCUGUAACUGACGCUGAGGCGCGAAAGCGUGGGAGCAAACAGGAUUAGAUACCCUGGUAGUCCACGCCGUAAACGAUGAGUGCUAGGUGUUA